This is a small nucleolar RNA of Cercocebus atys (sooty mangabey), 206 nucleotides long. Its record names the gene U3. It matches the Rfam family "Small nucleolar RNA U3". Rfam says of the family: Small nucleolar RNAs (snoRNAs) are involved in the processing and modification of rRNA in the nucleolus. There are two main classes of snoRNAs: the box C/D class, and the box H/ACA class. The record is from Ensembl. NCBI's taxonomy places the organism in Eukaryota, Metazoa, Chordata, Mammalia, Primates, Cercopithecidae.
AAGACUAUACUUUCAGGGAUCAUUCCUACAGUGCACUACCAGAGAAGUUUCUGUGAACGUGCAGAGCACCGGAAACCAUGAGCAGGAGGCGCAGCGUUCUCUCCUGAGCAUGAGGCCGGAUCUUGGUGUUGCUUCGCUGCGACUGCCAUUGGCCGUUGAUGAUCAUUCUUCUCUGGGAGAGUAAGAGAGGACACAGUUUGAGUGGU